GAUGGACGCUGGCGGCGUGCUUAACACAUGCAAGUCGAACGGUGAAGGCGGAGCUUGCUCUGCUGGAUCAGUGGCGAACGGGUGAGUAACACGUGAGCAAUCUGCCCCUGACUCUGGGAUAAGCGCUGGAAACGGCGUCUAAUACUGGAUACGAGCUGCGAAGGCAUCUUCAGCAGCUGGAAAGAACUUCGGUCAGGGAUGAGCUCGCGGCCUAUCAGCUUGUUGGUGAGGUAACGGCUCACCAAGGCGUCGACGGGUAGCCGGUCUGAGAGGGUGACCGGCCACACUGGGACUGAGACACGGCCCAGACUCCUACGGGAGGCAGCAGUGGGGAAUAUUGCACAAUGGGCGAAAGCCUGAUGCAGCAACGCCGCGUGAGGGACGACGGCCUUCGGGUUGUAAACCUCUUUUAGCAGGGAAGAAGCGAAAGUGACGGUACCUGCAGAAAAAGCGCCGGCUAACUACGUG
This 468-nucleotide ribosomal RNA is filed under the name uncultured bacterium. Its description in RNAcentral is "partial 16S ribosomal RNA". It matches the Rfam family "Bacterial small subunit ribosomal RNA", at positions 28 to 507 of the family's 1533-position model. The record is from RNAcentral.